Molecule: ribosomal RNA, 113 nt
Filed under: Amphiprion ocellaris (clown anemonefish)
Lineage: Eukaryota; Metazoa; Chordata; Actinopteri; Pomacentridae
Source: RNAcentral
GUUUGUUUGAGACUGAAUACACCUGCUCUCAUCUGAUCUGCAAAGCUAAGCAGGGUUGGGCCUGGUUAGUAUUUGGAUGGGAGACUACCUGGGAAUACCAGGUGCUGUAAGCU